AACGAACGCUGGCGGCAGGCCUAACACAUGCAAGUCGAACGCUGUAGCAAUACAGAGUGGCAGACGGGUGAGUAACGCGUGGGAACCUUCCCAGUGGUGCGGAAUAGCUCAGGGAAACUUGAGGUAAUACCGCAUAAGCCCCUAGGGGGAAAGAUUUAUCGCCAUUGGAUGGGCCCGCGUCGGAUUAGCUAGUUGGUGAGGUAAUGGCUCACCAAGGCAACGAUCCGUAGCGGUUUGAGAGAAUGACCAGCCACACUGGGACUGAGACACGGCCCAGACUCCUACGGGAGGCAGCAGUGGGGAAUCUUGGACAAUGGGCGCAAGCCUGAUCCAGCCAUGCCGCGUGAGUGACGAAGGCCUUAGGGUUCUAAAGCUCUUUUGCCGGGGACGAUAAUGACGGUACCCGGAGAAUAAGUCCCGGCUAACUUCGUGCCAGCAGCCGCAGUAA
RNAcentral lists this ribosomal RNA (448 nucleotides) under uncultured bacterium. RNAcentral's name for it is "bacterial SSU rRNA". It matches the Rfam family "Bacterial small subunit ribosomal RNA", at positions 29 to 523 of the family's 1533-position model. The record is from RNAcentral.